CAGUUCCCAUAGGCCGACUUUCCUGAAGCCGGUGGUGUCAGGUUUCGGCAGUGGUGCCUUUGCAACAUUGCAGUAAGAGCAGCAAGGGUCUGCAGCAGCAACAGGAACCAGUUCUGAGCUGUGAAUGCAGUGGGGUUUCCCCUGCAGCUUCCACCCAUCCUGCCUUGGACAUGCAGGCUCAGAAGUUACGGGGCAAAGAGCACUUCUUACUGCACAUGUCACACUGCGAAAUCAGACUCUGGAGCUGAGUGAUGCUGCCCCGUGGGAGAGCCAGCUUCUCCAGGUCCCACCACCGGCACCCCACACUGAAGUCCCACAGAGUAAGAAUAGAAGAAAUACAAGAAUCUUUUAGUUCCAGAAAGACUCAGGAGAGUCCUCUAAAAGCCCAAGCCAGAGGCCUCUCAGUCUGGCUCAGUGCUUGAGCUGCCCUCUGCGAGACACCCACAGCGCACCCCAGCUGAACAACUACAAUUAAAAUUGCCAGGUCGUCUCCUUCUGUCACAAAAUAAAAUGUGUUUUCAUGAGUUUUGCAUCACAAAAUCCCCCCUUCUUGCAUUUUUAAGGUGAAAUUGUAAUUACAUUCUAACACAGUACAGACUUUUUCAUUAACAAAUUCACUUGGUUUUUCACGUGGGGUUGUAUGUGGUCUCUCAGAUAUCUUGGUAGUCUGAACGUCACAUUCUUAACACCAGGACCUUCACCAGGAGGGGUAACUAGAGCGUCACAGCCAGAGCAGAUGUCCCAGGGACCAUUAAAUCAUGGGGUGUGACCCAGAGCUUCCUGCACAGAACCACCAAAUGGCAAGGGAGACUGAUGGAAGCCAGAACCAAGAUCAAAGCCAAAAUCAGAGACCGUGGAGCCAUUAUUAGAGGUGGAGUGGCUUCGAGGAGAGAGGAACUGGGAAGAGGUGGCCAUUAGCAUCAAAGACACCAAGGGACCAGCACCCAAUGCAGCUGAAGGCAGGAUGGCUGGGGGCUGAGUGUGAGCACCCAACUGCACUGUCUACCUGCCCAUCUUGCCUGGACACCGAAUUACCCUGACUUCGCUUCCUCAAGGCCCUGUGGGUGAAGAAGGGGCCGGGGAAGGAAGGAAAAGAUGGUUUUUCUAAUAGUGAGCCCACAGAGACAAGCAAAGACACGAACCCAAACUGGCUGGUUAUUUAUUCAUGAAGUCAUUCAUUUAUAGUUUUCUGUAUCUAAAUUCCAGCUAAAAUCUCAUGGUUAAUAAUCAUACAAUCAUGCAAAAGCCCUCGCUGAAAUGGGAUGGUCUUUACUUGAGAAGAUAUAAUAUACAUAUUUUCAAGCGAGAUUGUUUUUCUCCUUUGUUGGGUUCCUUUCCACAGGUUGCAGAGGACUUUCCACGAAGCAUGGCAUAGCAACGUGUCUGGCCCGUCAUGAUUGCUGUACCGGAGCACGACCUGCUCUGGGGCCAUCUUUGGCCUGUAGGCGGAGAGCACUGUUGCGUAGCUGGUUUGAUGGAUGAACUCCUGGGAAGAUUUACUCUGCCUUAUAAUGUUGCCCAUCACUGAUGCCUCAAAAUCCACACCGGGAAAUAUUCAGUCCAGCAAACAGCUAGUAAACAGCAUGUCCUGAAACCAGGGAGGAACACAUUACUUCUCUUUUCUCCUUAGCAGCUGCCAGGACUAGAAAGGCCUCUCACCGAUAGGAGAUAUGAGAGAGCUGUGACCUCCCGCUGCAAGGCUUUUGUCCCCUUCACACAUUACACUCCUGGCUUUGUUUUUGUUUUUUAAAGUAAGGCUUUAGUUUUUAG
Molecule: non-coding RNA, 1770 nt
Organism: Equus caballus (horse)
Lineage: Eukaryota; Metazoa; Chordata; Mammalia; Perissodactyla; Equidae
Source: RefSeq, a predicted model, not a curated record